This 1875-nucleotide ribosomal RNA is filed under the name Triticum aestivum (bread wheat). RNAcentral describes it as "partial small subunit ribosomal RNA". The record is from RNAcentral. Lineage: Eukaryota; Viridiplantae; Streptophyta; Magnoliopsida; Poales; Poaceae.
AUGUCACAGGAUUGGACCAGUGAUAGUGAUGACGGUGAUAAGUUUGAGUGGGACAGUGAUAGUGAUGAUAGUGAUAAGUUUGAGUGGGAUAGUGAUAGUGAUGACAGUGAUAAGUUUGAGUGGGACAGUGAUGGUGAGGCUGAGCCCUCAUCGGCUCCGGCUAUGAGGAACUUCGAUGCUCCUGGCCCAUCCACAAGUUUGGAUGGGUGGAUCAACGGGGAAGCGCCGCCUACUUCUUUGAUCGAGGGAUAUGUGGCAAUGGGCUUCCCAAAAGAGAUGGUCGUGACGAGUAUCAAGGAGAUUGGACAUAGUGAUGCAGAUGCUCUGCUCGAGCUACUCCUCAUGUACAAGGCACUAGGUGAUGAUUAUGCAGUGGACAAUCACUCUAAUUUUGGCUGUAGCCCCCCUAGUGUUGAAGAUGAUGAUGGUCUUGAUUUUCAGAACUGGGAUGGCGAUGAUGAUACUGGUGGUAAAGAGUCAAGCUCUGAUGAUUCUGGUUAUGAGGAUUUUCUACGAGAGAUGUCAGACAAGGAUGAGAAGAUCAACUCAUUGCGAGGCAUGGGAUUUUCUGAAGAUGAAACAAACAUGGCUAUUACGAUAUGUGGUGUGGAUGCUGAUCUCUCUAUAUUGGUUGACUCAAUUAGUGCAUCACAUGUUAUAGAAGUUUGUCACUCUAGAAACUUAUCUGACCAUCAGAGAAAGAGAGCAAGAUUGAUUGAAGAGAGCAAGAAAAAGAGGAAGAGAUAUGGAGGUGGAGCACAAGGCAAACGACCUUCCUCGGAUGGCAGCGAUGAGGAAUCAAUGCCUCUCCCAAAUCCAAUGGUUGGGUUUAACUUUCCUGGUUAUAGGGGACCAUCAAUGACCCAAGUGCUUCUUGAACUAGCUACCGGACCACCUUAUUUCUACUAUGAAAAUGUGGCCCGAGCUCCAAAAGGUGUAUGGGCGAAAAUUACAAGGUUUUUGUUUGACAUUCAACCAGAGUUUGUGCAUUCUCUUCAUCUGUGUGAAGCUGCUAGGAAAAGGGGAUACAUCCAAAAUUUGCCAACCGAGAACAGAUCACCGCUUCCCCCUCUACCCCCAAAGACCAUAUUUGAGGCAUUCCCUGAUUACAAGAUGUGGUGGCCAUCCUGGGACCAGAGAACACACCUCAGUUGCUUGCAAACAUGUAUGGCAAGUGCAAAGGUGACAGAACGGAUCCAGCGCGCUCUUUCAAGCUCAGGCAAUCCACCACCUCAAAGUGUACAGAAAUAUGUCAGGCAUGAAUGCUCAAAAUGGAACCUUGUCUGGGUUGGCAAAAACAAGGUUGCUCCAUUGGAACCUCAUGAGAUGGAGUAUCUUCUUGGUUUCCCAAGGGAUCACACAAGAGGAGUCGGCAAGACACAGAGAUACAAGUCUCUCGGCAACUCAUUCCAUGUUGACAAAGUCGCUUACCACUUGUCAGUGUCAAGGGUCAUGUUUCCCAAUGGUGUUACUGUGUUGUCCUUGUUCACCGGUAUCGUAGGAGGAGAGGUUGCUUUGCACAAGCUUGGGAUCCACAUGAGGGUAGUAGUUUCUGUUGAGAUAUGCAAAGCUAAUAGGGAGAUUUUGAGGAGUUGGUGGGAUCAAACCCAGACAUGCACGUUGAUUGAGAUUGCUGAUGUGAAAUUCCUCAAGGAUGAUGAAAUUGCAUCAUACGUUAGUAGAUUUGGUGGCUUUUACUUGGUGAUUAGGGGCAGCCCAUGUAAUAAUCUUGCCGGAAGUAACCAACACCAUCGUGAUGGCUUGGAGGGCAAGCACUCAUCUUCGUUCUUUGACUACUUUAGGAUCUUGAAUUCCGUCAAGUCAGCUAUGGCGACAAUGCAGCCUAACCGCUGUAGUACCUAUGCUAUCCAUUAA